Paramuricea clavata is the source of this 79-nucleotide non-coding RNA. Lineage: Eukaryota; Metazoa; Cnidaria; Anthozoa; Malacalcyonacea; Plexauridae. The record is from the annotation of a GenBank genome assembly.
GACUCUGUAGCUCAGUUGAUCAUAGGGAGCGCUGCACUGGAAACGCAGGGCCGCAGGUUCGAUGCCUGCCACAGGGUCU